Long non-coding RNA from Etheostoma spectabile (orangethroat darter), 222 nucleotides. RefSeq lists it as uncharacterized. The record is from RefSeq and is a predicted model, not a curated record. Lineage: Eukaryota; Metazoa; Chordata; Actinopteri; Perciformes; Percidae. The transcript has 3 exons.
UGCAGCUCUGGGUCUAAUGAUCUUGGAUGAAAACAAAGGGUGAUUGUGCCUUCUCUGUUGUGGCCCCAAGACUCUGGAACAAACUUCCAAUUCAUAUUAGGUCCUCUUCUACUGCGGAGAUCUUUAAGUCUUGUCUUAAAACACAUUUGUUUUCUUUGGCGUAUGAUUUAGUUUUGGGACAUUUGUUGAGAAGGGGGUUGUUUGUAUGAUGUUCACUGUGUC